This 301-nucleotide ribosomal RNA is filed under the name uncultured bacterium. Its description in RNAcentral is "partial 16S ribosomal RNA". It matches the Rfam family "Bacterial small subunit ribosomal RNA", at positions 509 to 807 of the family's 1533-position model. The record is from RNAcentral.
CAGUAGCCGCGGUAAUACGAAGGGGGCUAGCGUUGCUCGGAAUUACUGGGCGUAAAGGGAGCGUAGGCGGAUCGUUUAGUCAGGGGUGAAAUCCCGGGGCUCAACCUCGGAACUGCCUUUGAUACUGGCGAUCUUGAGUAUGGGAGAGGUGUGUGGAACUCCGAGUGUAGAGGUGAAAUUCGUAGAUAUUCGGAAGAACACCAGUGGCGAAGGCGACACACUGGCCCAUUACUGACGCUGAGGCUCGAAAGCGUGGGGAGCAAACGGGAUUAGAUACCCCGGUAGUCCCUGUCUCUUAUAC